Molecule: ribosomal RNA, 292 nt
Filed under: uncultured bacterium
Lineage: Bacteria
Also listed under: 1 other name
Description: partial 16S ribosomal RNA
Source: RNAcentral
GGACUACAGGGGUUUCUAAUCCCGUUUGCUCCCCUGGCUUUCGCGCCUCAGCGUCAGGAAAGGUCCAGUGCGUCGCUUUCGCCACCGGCGUUCCUCGGGAUAUCUACGCAUUUCACCGCUCCACCCUGAGUUCCACGCACCCCUACCUCCCUCCAGGCGGCCAGUAUCGGGGGCCAUUUUCCAGUUGAGCUGAAAGAUUUCACCCCCGACUUGGUCGUCCGCCUACGCGCCCUUUAAGCCCAGUGAAUCCGAACAACGUUUGCACGGUUCGUCUUACCGCGGCGGCUGGCAC